RNAcentral lists this ribosomal RNA (449 nucleotides) under uncultured bacterium. RNAcentral describes it as "bacterial SSU rRNA". It matches the Rfam family "Bacterial small subunit ribosomal RNA", at positions 355 to 796 of the family's 1533-position model. The record is from RNAcentral.
UCGAGAAUAAUUCGCAAUGGGCGAAAGCCUGACGAUGCGACGCCGUGUGAACGAUGAAGGCCUUCGGGUUGUAAAGUUCUGUCACUUGUGAACAAGGUUACUGUGUGAAUAACAUAGUAAUUUGAGUGUAACAGGAGAGGAAGCACCGGCUAACUCCGUGCCAGCAGCUGCGGUAAUACGGAGGGUGCAAGCGUUAGUCGGAAUUACUGGGCGUAAAGGGUGCGUAGGCGGGGAUAUAAGUCAGAUGUGAAAAACCGAAGCUCAACUUCGGCAGUGCAUCUGAAACUGUAUUUCUAGAGGGAGAGCGGAGAAAACGGAAUUCCACGUGUAGCGGUGAAAUGCGUAGAUAUGUGGAAGAACACCUGUGGCGAAAGCGGUUUUCUAGCUUACCCCUGACGCUGAGGCACGAAAGCAAGGGGAGCAAACAGGAUUAGAUACCCCCGUAGUCC